CCUACGGGAGGCAGCAGUAGGGAAUGUUCGGCAAUGGGGGGAACCCUGACCGAGCAACGCCGCGUGAACGAAGAAGGUAUUCGGAAUGUAAAGUUCUUUUAACAGGGAAGAAAGAGAAAGUGGACGGUACCUGAAGAAUAAGCUCCGGCUAACGACGUGCCAGCAGCCGCGGUAAUACGUCGGGAGCGAGCGUUAUCCGGAAUGAUUGGGCGUAAAGGGUGCGGAGCUUGCAUAGUAAGUCUUUUGUAAAAAUGCUGGGCUCACCCCAGUAGGGCAACCGAUACUGCAAAGCUAGAGUAUGCCUGAGGCAAGUGGAACUACAUGUGUAGCUGUCAAAUGCGUACAUAUAUGUAAGAACACCAGUGGCGACGGCGGCUUGUUGGGUCGCUACUGACAUUGAUGCAC
RNAcentral lists this ribosomal RNA (405 nucleotides) under uncultured bacterium. RNAcentral describes it as "partial 16S ribosomal RNA". It matches the Rfam family "Bacterial small subunit ribosomal RNA", at positions 338 to 754 of the family's 1533-position model. The record is from RNAcentral.